RNAcentral lists this ribosomal RNA (254 nucleotides) under uncultured bacterium. RNAcentral's name for it is "partial 16S ribosomal RNA". It matches the Rfam family "Bacterial small subunit ribosomal RNA", at positions 524 to 776 of the family's 1533-position model. The record is from RNAcentral.
UACAGAGGUCUCAACCGUUGUUCGGAUUCAUUGGGCGUAAAGGGUGCGUAGGCGGUCGGGUAAGUCGGAUGUGAAAUCUCAGGGCUCAACCCUGAAACUGCAUUCGAUACUGCUUGGCUAGGGUACUGGAGAGGAGACUGGAAUUCUCGGUGUAGCGGUGAAAUGCGUAGAUAUCGAGAGGAACACCUGCGGCGAAGGCGGGUUGCUGGGCUGACACUGACGCUGACAGCGCGAAAGCUAGGGGAGCGAACGGG